Molecule: long non-coding RNA, 256 nt
Organism: Poecilia latipinna (sailfin molly)
Lineage: Eukaryota; Metazoa; Chordata; Actinopteri; Cyprinodontiformes; Poeciliidae
Exons: 3
Source: RefSeq, a predicted model, not a curated record
AAUCACCUCCACUGCUCCACCUUCCUCCAUCUGUCCCAGCUCCACCCAGUCUCCUCCCAUCAUGCUCCUGUUCCUCUCCUCCAGUGCUGCAGUGGUUUUCCUCCACCUACUGGUUUUACUGGUGAGCUGGUGUUUUCACAGGAGUCAUGAAGGAUCUGGAUUUGACCCACAGCAGUUUGGACCCAGCAGAGGAACCUCUACAUGUGUCCUCUACUCAGCACUGAGGACAGACGUCCAUCAGGGACAGAUCGUCUGC